Molecule: ribosomal RNA, 443 nt
Filed under: uncultured bacterium
Lineage: Bacteria
Description: partial 16S ribosomal RNA
Rfam family: Bacterial small subunit ribosomal RNA
Source: RNAcentral
GAUGAACGCUGGCGGCAUGCCUAACACAUGCAAGUCGAUCGGUAAGGCUCUUCGGAGUACACGAGAGGCGGACGGCUGAGUAACGCGUAGGAACACACCCUGCAGUGAGGGAUAAGACACCGAAAGGUGUUCUAAUACCGCAUACGGUCUUCGGAUUAAAGCAUUUAUGCGCUGAAGGAGUGGCCUGCGUCAUAUUAGAUAGUUGGUGAGGUAAUGGCUCACCAAGUCGAUGAUGUGUAGCUGGUCUGAGAGGAUGAUCAGCCAGACUGGAACUGAGACACGGUCCAGACUCCUACGGGAGGCAGCAGUGGGGAAUAUUUCACAAUGAGCGAAAGCUUGAUGGAGCAAUGCCGCGUGCAGGAUGAAGGCCCUCGGGUUGUAAACUGCUUUUAUAAGAGAAGAUUAUGACGGUAACUUAUGAAUAAGGGACGGCUAACUACGUG